Molecule: non-coding RNA, 115 nt
Organism: Triticum urartu
Lineage: Eukaryota; Viridiplantae; Streptophyta; Magnoliopsida; Poales; Poaceae
Source: Rfam
CUUGUACUCCCUCAUUCCGAAAAUACUUGUCAUUGAAAUGGAUGUAUCUAGAUGUAUUUUAGUUCUAGACACAUCCAUUUUGAUGACAAGUAAUUCCGGACGGAGGGAGUACUUG